UCCCUGGUGGUCAGUGGUUAGCACUUGGCACUUUCACUGCCAUGACCCAGGUUUAAACCCUGGUUAGGGAA
This 71-nucleotide transfer RNA is filed under the name Bos taurus (domestic cattle). It matches the Rfam family "tRNA". From Rfam's summary of the family: Transfer RNA (tRNA) molecules are approximately 80 nucleotides in length. Lineage: Eukaryota; Metazoa; Chordata; Mammalia; Artiodactyla; Bovidae. The record is from Rfam by way of RNAcentral. RNAcentral also lists the same sequence under 5 other names.